GACGAACGCUGGCGGCGUGCUUAACACAUGCAAGUCGAACGGAAAGGCCCUGCCUUGGGGGGGUGCUCGAGUGGCGAAGGGGUGAGUAACACGUGAGUAAGGUGUCCUUGACUGUGGGAUAACUUCAGGAAACUGGGGCUAAUACCGGAUAGGAGCUCCUGCUGCAUGGUGGGGGUUGGAAAGUUUCGGCGGUUGGGGGUGGACUCGCGGCCUAUCAGCUUGUUGGUGGGGUAGUGGCUUACCAAGGCUUUGACGCGUAGCCGGCCUGGUAGGGUGACCGGCCCCAUUGGGACUGAGCUGCGGCCCAGCCUCCUACGGGAGGCAGAAGUGCGGAAUAUUGCACAAUGGGCGGAAGCCUGAUGCAGCCCCGCCGCGUGCGGGAUGACGGCCUUCGGUUUGUAAACCGCUUUCGCCUGUGACGAAGUGUGAGUGACGGUACUGGGUAAAGAAGCACCGGCUAACUCCGUG
RNAcentral lists this ribosomal RNA (468 nucleotides) under uncultured bacterium. Its description in RNAcentral is "partial 16S ribosomal RNA". It matches the Rfam family "Bacterial small subunit ribosomal RNA", at positions 28 to 507 of the family's 1533-position model. The record is from RNAcentral.